AACGAACGCUGGCGGCAUGCCUAACACAUGCAAGUCGAACGAGACCUUCGGGUCUAGUGGCGCACGGGUGCGUAACGCGUGGGAACCUGCCCUUAGGUUCGGAAUAACUCCCCGAAGGGGGUGCUAAUACCGGCUAAUGUCUUCGGACCAAAGAUUUAUCGCCUUUGGAUGGGCCCGCGUUGGAUUAGCUAGUUGGUAGGGUAAAAGCCUACCAAGGCGACGAUCCAUAGCUGGUCUGAGAGGAUGAUCAGCCACACUGGGACUGAGACACGGCCCAGACUCCUACGGGAGGCAGCAGUGGGGAAUAUUGGACAAUGGGCGAAAGCCUGAUCCAGCAAUGCCGCGUGAGUGAUGAAGGCCUUAGGGUUGUAAAGCUCUUUUACCCGGGAUGAUAAUGACAGUACCGGGAGAAUAAGCUCCGGCUAACUCCGUG
RNAcentral lists this ribosomal RNA (433 nucleotides) under uncultured bacterium. Its description in RNAcentral is "partial 16S ribosomal RNA". It matches the Rfam family "Bacterial small subunit ribosomal RNA", at positions 29 to 507 of the family's 1533-position model. The record is from RNAcentral.